Molecule: non-coding RNA, 241 nt
Organism: Arachis ipaensis
Lineage: Eukaryota; Viridiplantae; Streptophyta; Magnoliopsida; Fabales; Fabaceae
Source: RefSeq, a predicted model, not a curated record
AAGAAAGAGAGAGAGUGAGAGAGAUAGAGAGAGAGAGAGAGAGCACUUGAAUAUGAACAAGAUUUAACAUAUAAAAUUAUUGCCUGAAAAAGACCAUAUUCUUGAGAGGCUUUCAAAAGUUGGUUGAUGAUAUGAGCACGAUCAUGUCCUCCAAGAUUAAUGAUCGGUAUGCUAUCAUUCUUCACCAUCACUUUAUCAGGUCUCGAUUCUUGUGGUUGCACAUAAUAUUUAGGCACUUCUG